This 110-nucleotide transfer RNA is filed under the name Methanopyrus kandleri AV19. It matches the Rfam family "tRNA". From Rfam's summary of the family: Transfer RNA (tRNA) molecules are approximately 80 nucleotides in length. Their secondary structure includes four short double-helical elements and three loops (D, anti-codon, and T loops). The record is from Rfam by way of RNAcentral. Lineage: Archaea; Methanobacteriati; Methanobacteriota; Methanopyri; Methanopyrales; Methanopyraceae.
GCCGGGGCAGCUUAGCCUGGUAGAGCGCGGGGCUCAUAGGGCCCGAUGACCCCGAGGGGUGACCGGCCUGGGAUACCCCGAGGUCCCGGGUUCAAAUCCCGGCCCCGGCA